GAUGAACGCUGGCGGCGUGCCUAAUACAUGCAAGUCGAGCGAACAGACGAGGAGCUUGCUCCUCUGACGUUAGCGGCGGACGGGUGAGUAACACGUGGAUAACCUACCUAUAAGACUGGGAUAACUUCGGGAAACCGGAGCUAAUACCGGAUAAUAUAUUGAACCGCAUGGUUCAAUAGUGAAAGACGGUUUUGCUGUCACUUAUAGAUGGAUCCGCGCCGCAUUAGCUAGUUGGUAAGGUAACGGCUUACCAAGGCAACGAUGCGCAGCCGACCUGAGAGGGUGUUCGCCCACACUGGAGCUGAGCCACGGUCCAGACUCCUACGGGAGGCCGCAGUAGGGAAUCUUCCGCAAUGGGCGAAAGCCUGACGGAGCAACGCCGCGUGAGUGAUGAAGGUCUUCGGAUCGUAAAACUCUGUUAUUAGUGAAGAACAAAUGUGUAAGUAACUAUGCACGUCUUGACGGUACCUAAUCAGAAAGCCACGGCUAACUACGUG
This 497-nucleotide ribosomal RNA is filed under the name uncultured bacterium. RNAcentral describes it as "partial 16S ribosomal RNA". It matches the Rfam family "Bacterial small subunit ribosomal RNA", at positions 28 to 507 of the family's 1533-position model. The record is from RNAcentral.